Molecule: ribosomal RNA, 253 nt
Filed under: uncultured bacterium
Lineage: Bacteria
Description: partial 16S ribosomal RNA
Rfam family: Bacterial small subunit ribosomal RNA
Source: RNAcentral
UACGUAGGGUGCCAGCGUUGUCCGGAAUUAUUGGGCGUAAAGAGCUCGUCGGCGGUUUGUUGCGUCGGCUGUGAAAUCCCGAGGCUCAACCUCGGGUCUGCAGUCGAUACGAGCAAACUAGAGUGUUGCAGGGGAGACUGGAAUUCCUGGUGUAGCGGUGAAAUGCGCAGAUAUCAGGAGGAACACCGGUGGCGAAGGCGGGUCUCUGGGCAACAACUGACGCUGAGGAGCGAAAGCGUGGGGAGCGAACAGG